This 594-nucleotide small RNA is filed under the name Halothermothrix orenii H 168. The record is from RNAcentral. Lineage: Bacteria; Bacillati; Bacillota; Clostridia; Halanaerobiales; Halothermotrichaceae.
AACAUAAAUCCCAUAGGUGGUGCAGUAUUCUAGUCAACACGCUAUCCCUGAAGACGGGCCUAAAAAUCCGUCAAGGGCACACCGAUGAAGUUCCUGGUGUUGGCUUCUGACGCCCAGUCGGGGGUCAGUGCUGGGAGUUAAGGGAGAGGGGCGAUCCACAAAGGCAUGUGGGCGUUGACCCCGAUCCCGUGGAGGCCUGAAUUCCUUUUCUGGGGAAAAAGGAAUUCGGGUAAACCUGCAUGUAUGGAAAGAUGCAUGCAGUGUAGCCUGCUUUGAGUGGCUCAGGGGACAGUAGAAUGAUCCUGCUUUGGUACCGGGCAGGGUAAUGCUACUGGAAACCUGGGCUGCAAAAGAAGCUAGGGGAUAGGACAGUGUUGCCAAGGAAAACUUCUAGACUGUCCGGUGAUGGCCGGGGCAUACCAGGGAUUAAAGUGUGGUCUUAGUGGUAAUCCAGUCCUGUAGUGGGUGACCCUACAGUCGGGAUUUUAAAGGGAAACCGCUCCCCUGGUGACAGGGGAGCAAUCCCGGGGGAAAACCUACUGGACCUAAGCCGCAGCGUUUACCUGGUAUGCUACCACCUAUGGGUGAUUUUUA